UGGGGCGUGGCCAAGUGGUAAGGCAACAGGGUUUGGUCCUUUUAUUCGGAGGUUCGAAUCCUUCCGUCCCAG
RNAcentral lists this transfer RNA (72 nucleotides) under Burmannia cryptopetala. Its description in RNAcentral is "tRNA-Gln". It matches the Rfam family "tRNA". Rfam says of the family: Transfer RNA (tRNA) molecules are approximately 80 nucleotides in length. Their secondary structure includes four short double-helical elements and three loops (D, anti-codon, and T loops). Further hydrogen bonds mediate the characteristic L-shaped molecular structure. tRNAs have two regions of fundamental functional importance: the anti-codon, which is responsible for specific mRNA codon recognition, and the 3' end, to which the tRNAs corresponding amino acid is attached (by aminoacyl-tRNA synthetases). tRNAs cope with the degeneracy of the genetic code in two manners: having more than one tRNA (with a specific anti-codon) for a particular amino acid; and 'wobble' base-pairing, i.e. permitting non-standard base-pairing at the 3rd anti-codon position. Lineage: Eukaryota; Viridiplantae; Streptophyta; Magnoliopsida; Dioscoreales; Burmanniaceae. The record is from RNAcentral.